Molecule: long non-coding RNA, 1265 nt
Organism: Strongylocentrotus purpuratus (purple sea urchin)
Lineage: Eukaryota; Metazoa; Echinodermata; Echinoidea; Camarodonta; Strongylocentrotidae
Exons: 3
Source: RefSeq, a predicted model, not a curated record
UGCUCCGCAAGAAGAGGCUCCAAGACAAAAGAAGAAAGUGCGUGCUCUAGGACUGGCUUGCCAUUUCCCAGGAGCUGGUACUAACCUUGGUCCACAGCCAGACCCCGGGUUGUUGACAACCAGGAUCCAGAGCCACGCUCUGGAGCCCUUGACAGACAAGGUCCAGUUUCAAAGCCUGGAGCUGGGGAUGACAAGGAUUCAGUUGGAGCAACCACCUAUAAAGUAUAAUAUGCUCAAGGCAGCUCCAGUUGAGGGUAAAAGAAUUCCUGAACAUCGUAUACAAAUCCACAGCGAUGAAGCUAAAGAUGAUGGUGAUAGAGUUGAUGAGAGCCUGGAACAACGUCCAAGAAAACGACGAGCUAAGACGGAUCGUCAACCUUCCUCACCUUAGAAUCCUUAGGAUGAAAAGCAAUAGCACUAUUGAAUAACAUCCAGAGCGGAAUUUGGCGGUAGCGAGAAUUUAUCUUACAAGACUUACACACACACUGAUGGAAUACUUAUUUGAAUACUAACAUUUCCUAUUUUGAAUCCUUGCCAUUCUACCUCAAACAACCGUUACAUAUAAGUGCAAUACUAAUUUACUAUGCAAACACUUACAAGUACUUAACUGUCAAUCAAUUAUGCAAUACAAGUCAGGUGUGUUUGUUUUCUUUUGGCCUAUAUUUUGAUGAAUUUGCUGGGACUUUGAAAUUGUAUAGUUCUUAUUAUAUCUUGCUUUCUUUUGUAUUACAAUAAUGCUGCAUUCAUCUUAACAGUAUUACCUCUCGGAACUAUGCAAUUUUUACAUGUUCUGUAUAUAUUAGUUAUAUUCUAUGCCAUUCUUUAUUUGUUAAUGGAUGGACAGAUGUUUAUAUCAUCUUAACUGAUUAUGAAAUGUAAUGCAUAAUGUUUAAUGUUUGCUUGAGGCCGUGGGCCGAUUUACGUUUUUGUUUUUGGGCCAAUGCACGAAAAUCCUCUGGCAAGACAUUAAUCUGUAUGUGUCUCUUUAUAGGUGUAGGAAAUGUUUACCCGGUACGAAGAAAUCUGAAUGUCAAAUUUUUGCUAGCCCGGCAAAAGGUGGGGUAAUGAUAAUAUUGUACAGCACUUAGAACCAUAAACGCUGUAUAUAUACUAUAAUGUGAUACUGUUUUACAGCUAAUACAUUAAAGCGCUUAGUAAUAUUUGUAUGAAGCGCUCUCUAAAUGUUACUACACAUUUACUAUCGAUAUUGUAAAUACCGUCUUUACAGCUUGUAAAAAAAUGCCUGUUCACUUCUAUAAACUUAG